RNAcentral lists this ribosomal RNA (1344 nucleotides) under uncultured bacterium. RNAcentral's name for it is "16S ribosomal RNA". It matches the Rfam family "Bacterial small subunit ribosomal RNA", at positions 28 to 1378 of the family's 1533-position model. The record is from RNAcentral.
GACGAACGCUUGCGGCGUGCUUAACACAUGCAAGUCGAACGGAAAGGCCCUGCUUUUGUGGGGUGCUCGAGUGGCGAACGGGUGAGUAACACGUGAGUAACCUGCCCUUGACUUUGGGAUAACUUCAGGAAACUGGGGCUAAUACCGGAUAGGAGCUCCUGCUGCAUGGUGGGGGUUGGAAAGUUUCGGCGGUUGGGGAUGGACUCGCGGCUUAUCAGCUUGUUGGUGGGGUAGUGGCUUACCAAGGCUUUGACGGGUAGCCGGCCUGAGAGGGUGACCGGCCACAUUGGGACUGAGAUACGGCCCAGACUCCUACGGGAGGCAGCAGUGGGGAAUAUUGCACAAUGGGCGGAAGCCUGAUGCAGCAACGCCGCGUGCGGGAUGACGGCCUUCGGGUUGUAAACCGCUUUCGCCUGUGACGAAGCGUGAGUGACGGUAAUGGGUAAAGAAGCACCGGCUAACUACGUGCCAGCAGCCGCGGUGAUACGUAGGGUGCGAGCGUUGUCCGGAUUUAUUGGGCGUAAAGGGCUCGUAGGUGGUUGAUCGCGUCGGAAGUGUAAUCUUGGGGCUUAACCCUGAGCGUGCUUUCGAUACGGGUUGACUUGAGGAAGGUAGGGGGAGAAUGGAAUUCCUGGUGGAGCGGUGGAAUGCGCAGAUAUCAGGAGGAACACCAGUGGCGAAGGCGGUUCUCUGGGCCUUUCCUGACGCUGAGGAGCGAAAGCGUGGGGAGCGAACAGGCUUAGAUACCCUGGUAGUCCACGCUGUAAACGGUGGGUACUAGGUGUGGGGUCCAUUCCACGGGUUCCGUGCCGUAGCUAACGCUUUAAGUACCCCGCCUGGGGAGUACGGCCGCAAGGCUAAAACUCAAAGGAAUUGACGGGGCCCCGCACAAGCGGCGGAGCAUGCGGAUUAAUUCGAUGCAACGCGUAGAACCUUACCUGGGUUUGACAUGGAUCGGGAGUGCUCAGAGAUGGGUGUGCCUCUUUUGGGGUCGGUUCACAGGUGGUGCAUGCCUGUCGUCAGCUCGUGUCGUGAGAUGUUGGGUUAAGUCCCGCAACGAGCGCAACCCUUGUUCACUGUUGCCAGCACGUUAUGGUGGGGACUCAGUGGAGACCGCCGGGGUCAACUCGGAGGAAGGUGGGGAUGACGUCAAGUCAUCAUGCCCCUUAUGUCCAGGGCUUCACGCAUGCUACAAUGGCUGGUACAGAGAGUGGCGAGCCUGUGAGGGUGAGCGAAUCUCGGAAAGCCGGUCUCAGUUCGGAUUGGGGUCUGCAACUCGACCUCAUGAAGUCGGAGUCGCUAGUAAUCGCAGAUCAGCAACGCUGCGGUGAAUACGUUCCCGGG